CGGUAAUUCCAGCUCCAAUAGCGUAUACUAAAGUUGUUGCAGUUAAAAAGCUCGUAGUUGGAUUUCUGCGGGGACGGAGCGGCCGGACGCAACUUGCGUCUCGAGCUAGCGCUUUCCCCGCAUCCUGCCGCGAACCGUGCUACCAUUAGUUUGGUGGCGCUGGGGAUCGGCUCGAUUACUUUGAGAAAAAUAGAGUGUUCAAAGCAGGCCACACGCCUUGAAUAAGUUAGCAUGGAAUAAUGACUAAGGACUUCGGUUCUAUUUUGUUGGUGUUCGGGACUGAAGUAAUGAUUGAUAGGGACAGUUGGGGCGGUCUGUAUUCCAAAGCGAGAGGUGAAAUUCUUAGACCUUCGGAAGACAAACAGCUGCGAAAGCGUUCCGCAAGGAUGUUCCCUUUGAUCAAGAACGAAAGUUGGGGGAUCGAAGACGAUCAGAUACCGUCGUAGUCUCAACUAUAAACUAUACCAGCUAGGGAUCGGUCAACGUUUAAUUAUUCGACUUGAUCGGCACCUUAUGAGAAAUCAAAGCAUCUGGGUUCCGGGGGGAGUAUGGUCGCAAGGCUGAAACUUAAAGGAAUUGACGGAAGGGCACCACCAGCCGUGGAGCCUGUGGCUUAAUUUGACUCAACACGGGAAAACUUACCAGGUCCAGACAUAGUAAGGAUUGACAGAUUGAUAGCUCUUUCUUGAUUCUGUGGGUGGUGGUGCAUGGCCGUUCUUAGUUGGUGGAGUGAUUUGUCUGGUUAAUUCCGUUAACGAACGAGACCCCAGCCUGCUAAAUAGCGCGGCUGAGCUUUGCUCGGUGCGAGCUUCUUAGAGGGACUAUGAUGCGCGAUAGCACAUGGAAGUUUGGGGCAAUAACAGGUCUGUGAUGCCCUUAGAUGUUCUGGGCCGCACACGGGCUACACUGGCGCCUGCAACGAGCAUAUCAGCUGGCCCGAGAGGGUCUUGGCUAAUCUUUUGAACCGGCGCCGUGCUUGGGAUUGACCUUUGCAAUUGUUGGUCAUGCAACGAGGAAUGCCUUGUAAACGCGAGUCAUCAGCUCGCAUUGAAUACGUCCCUGCCCUUUCUACACACCGCCCGUCGCUCCUACCGAUGAAUGUUCCGAUGAAAUUUUCGGAGAGCGCCAGAGAACGGGGCUCUGCCUUGCAGAUCUGGAGGCUCAAAGUCACUUAAAUCUGAACAUUUCGAGGAAGGAGAAGUCGUAACAAGGUAGCCG
This 1218-nucleotide ribosomal RNA is filed under the name uncultured Rhizaria. RNAcentral describes it as "SSU rRNA". It matches the Rfam family "Eukaryotic small subunit ribosomal RNA", at positions 577 to 1805 of the family's 1831-position model. The record is from RNAcentral.